This 253-nucleotide ribosomal RNA is filed under the name uncultured bacterium. RNAcentral describes it as "partial 16S ribosomal RNA". It matches the Rfam family "Bacterial small subunit ribosomal RNA", at positions 524 to 776 of the family's 1533-position model. The record is from RNAcentral.
UACGUAGGGUGCGAGCGUUGUCCGGAAUUAUUGGGCGUAAAGAGCUUGUAGGCGGUUUGUCGCGUCUGCUGUGAAAAUCCGGGGCUCAACCCCGGACUUGCAGUGGAUACGGGCAGGCUAGAGGUAGGUAGGGGAGAAUGGAAUUCCCGGUGUAGCGGUGAAAUGCGCAGAUAUCGGGAGGAACACCGGUGGCGAAGGCGGUUCUCUGGGCCUUACCUGACGCUGAGGAGCGAAAGCGUGGGGAGCGAACAGG